UGGUGUCUAUAUUUGCACACCUAUAGAAGUACAAGCAGUUUGUUAACUAUUCCAUCUAGGUGAGGUAUCAAAGUUUCUGGCUUGCCCGGCACCCAGAAGAAGCAGAGAGCUACAGCAACACAUGUGUAAUUCUCCUCAUUACCAAAAAAGAUAAUUAAGUAAUUUACCCCCCAAAAAAAAAAAAAUAUAAGAUGAAAUAGGGGCAAAGCCCUACGCUAACAGAAACAAAAGAAUAAAAGGACCGAAGCCCCUUUCUCUGGCCAAAAUCAAAAAGAAAGAAAGGGAAAAGGGUUUGCUGAGUAAGACUAAACCAGAAGCAAAAAGAGAUUUUGAAGGGUCAAGGGUUAAGACAAAAAUAAAAAAAAUACAGAAGGUAAGUUGGGGAAAAAGCUUGGUACAGCAGAAGAAGCCACUUCCGGCCAUUAUUUGUUCAAAUCUUAAGAUUGAUUGGAGGAAGUUGUAUGAAUUGCUCGAGGUGAAACAUUUGGUAUUUCAGCACGAGUACUAGACAACAGUUGACGCGAGCGAGAAUUUCGUUAAUUAGAGUACACGAGUUGAUAGUUCCUGGUGAGCCCCGCAUUUGUUCUUGUGGGCGAAGAGUUUAUUUAUUUGCUAUGUUCUCUCCUUUUGAACUCUUAGAGUCGCUCUAUAGUCAUUUUAUUUGUGUCAUGAGUAUUCGUUCAUUAUUAGACCCAUGACUAGUAUUAGAUUCUCUUAUAGUGUUUUGGAGAUGAAUUUAAGAUUACUGUGUUGCAAGUUAUUGAUUAACAGUGGUGAAUAACUGUUUGAUUAGUUGAUGAAGAUUAUGAGAUAUUUGGUUGAUAUAGGUUGGUUCUAUUGUUAAUUUUUGAGACAGGGUAAAUUUUUGGACAGUCCUAAAAU
This is a long non-coding RNA of Nicotiana tabacum (common tobacco), 882 nucleotides long. RefSeq lists it as uncharacterized. The record is from RefSeq and is a predicted model, not a curated record. Lineage: Eukaryota; Viridiplantae; Streptophyta; Magnoliopsida; Solanales; Solanaceae.